UCACUAACGCUUGAUCCUGUAAUGUUAAUGGAAUGUGUCCUGGGCCUGCUUCUGAUAUUUUAAUGAAGCUGUUUCAGUCUUGCUUCUCUUCUGCAGCACCUUGUCCCAUUGGUGGUAGCAUUGGAUGAUUAGGUGCAAACUAUUGUCCCUUUUAUUUGCAAGAUUUAGUACAAAAAAAAACUAGUCAGCCAUCUUGUAUUGUGUGGCCAGAUCACAGCAGACGCAGGACAGCUGUAGCACAAUAAAACGCAAAUUUCCAUGUUCUUAUUUUUAUAAUUAAUAAAUUAAUGAUUUGUUUAGUUUAGUUUAAUUUAUUUUAAGUCAUGGUAGUAAAAUUACGUAGUUCAAAAAAAAAAA
Drosophila pseudoobscura is the source of this 357-nucleotide long non-coding RNA. RefSeq lists it as uncharacterized. The record is from RefSeq and is a predicted model, not a curated record. The transcript is spliced from 2 exons. Lineage: Eukaryota; Metazoa; Arthropoda; Insecta; Diptera; Drosophilidae.